GAUGAACGCUGGCGGCGUGCUUAACACAUGCAAGUCGAACGGGAAACCUUUUAUUUAAGCUUCGGCAGAUUUAGCUGGUUUCUAGUGGCGGACGGGUGAGUAACGCGUGGGUAACCUGCCUUAUACAGGGGGAUAACAACCAGAUAUGGUUGCUAAUACCGCAUAAGCGCACAGGACCGCAUGGUCCGGUGUGAAAAACUCCGGUGGUAUAAGAUGGACCCGCGUUGGUUUAGCUAGUUGGCAGGGUAACGGCAUACCAAGGCGACGAUCCAUAGCCGGCAUGAGAGGGAGAACGGAGACAUUGGGACUGGGACACGGUCCGGAAUCCUACGGGAAGGAGCAGUGGGGAACAGUGCAAAAUGGGGGAAAUGCUGAUGCAGCGACGCCGGGUGAAGGAAGAAGUAACUCAGUAUGUAAAGUGCUAGCAGCAGGGAAGAUAGUGACGGUACCUGACUAAGAAGCCCCGGCUAACUACGUG
Molecule: ribosomal RNA, 478 nt
Filed under: uncultured bacterium
Lineage: Bacteria
Description: partial 16S ribosomal RNA
Rfam family: Bacterial small subunit ribosomal RNA
Source: RNAcentral